Molecule: long non-coding RNA, 651 nt
Organism: Gymnodraco acuticeps
Lineage: Eukaryota; Metazoa; Chordata; Actinopteri; Perciformes; Bathydraconidae
Exons: 2
Source: RefSeq, a predicted model, not a curated record
UGCAGUUCCUCUGCUGUCAUUGGCCGUCCGGACCGCUCAACAUCCGCGGGGAUUGGACAGACGUCGCCCAACCCCUGCUCGCUUCUGCCACGUCAUCCGGGGGAGGAGUAUAAAGGCUGAGCACGGACAACAGUCGGGAGGCUCUGUAUUUUGUGUCAGAUGCCUCAACCCUAUCCUUGUGAUAAGCCUUCAUUCUGUGAAUUCUGAGAUUUAGCGUGUGUCUUUGGUAUUAGCUCCACUGAUUAGCAGUGUCUAUAGUAGGGUUCUAGGCGAGCACACUGAGUAGCAGUGUGUCGUCGGGUUCUGUGUUAGCGUAGGGAUUUUGUGUGUGUGUAUACUGCUUAGAUCCAGGUUGAUUAGCACCUGUAGACCAGCGUUCCUGUGAGUGGAUAUUGCGUAGAGCCAGGUGAUUAGCACCUGUAGACCCGCACCAGCUGUGUGUUUCCACAGUCCCGUUUUGUUUAUUGCUUGUUUCCACUUGAGUAGUGAGAUUUGUUUUUCUUUCUAUAGCGGGGCAACUCUCUUUUGGAGACCCUUUGUGUUGUAUUAUAGUGACAGAUUGACCCGUGUUGUGGGGCCAAUCUGUGUGACCAUCAUUUUGCCUAGUUUCAGUGACAAUAAAACCACCGGUAACAAAUAUACCAAAUCCAA